Molecule: RNA transcript, 399 nt
Organism: Zea mays
Lineage: Eukaryota; Viridiplantae; Streptophyta; Magnoliopsida; Poales; Poaceae
Gene name: tubulin beta pseudogene
Exons: 1
Source: RefSeq, marked validated
UAUUCCGUGGCAAGAUGAGCACUAAGGAGGUUGAUGAGCAAAUGAUUAAUGUCCAGAACAAGAACUCGUCCUACUUUGUGGAGUGGAUCCCCAACAACGUCAAGUCCAGUGUUUGUGAUAUCCCUCCACGUGGCCUCUCCAUGGCCUCCACCUUCAUUGGCAACUCCACCUCCAUCCAGGAGAUGUUCCGCCGUGUGAGCGAGCAGUUCACUGCUAUGUUCAGGCGGAAGGCUUUCUUGCAUUGGUACACUGAUGAGGGCAUGGAUGAGAUGGAGUUCACCGAAGCUGAGAGCAACAUGAACGAUCUGGUGUCCGAGUACCACCAGUACCAAGAUGCCACUGCUGACGAGGAGGCAGAAUACGAGGACGAGGAGGCCAUCCAAGACGAGUAAGUGUGGU